Molecule: ribosomal RNA, 737 nt
Filed under: uncultured Staphylococcus sp.
Lineage: Bacteria; Bacillati; Bacillota; Bacilli; Caryophanales; Staphylococcaceae
Description: bacterial SSU rRNA
Rfam family: Bacterial small subunit ribosomal RNA
Source: RNAcentral
GUCGAGCGAACAGACGAGGAGCUUGCUCCUCUGACGUUAGCGGCGGACGGGUGAGUAACACGUGGAUAACCUACCUAUAAGACUGGGAUAACUUCGGGAAACCGGAGCUAAUACCGGAUAAUAUAUUGAACCGCAUGGUUCAAUAGUGAAAGACGGUUUUGCUGUCACUUAUAGAUGGAUCCGCGCCGCAUUAGCUAGUUGGUAAGGUAACGGCUUACCAAGGCAACGAUGCGUAGCCGACCUGAGAGGGUGAUCGGCCACACUGGAACUGAGACACGGUCCAGACUCCUACGGGAGGCAGCAGUAGGGAAUCUUCCGCAAUGGGCGAAAGCCUGACGGAGCAACGCCGCGUGAGUGAUGAAGGUCUUCGGAUCGUAAAACUCUGUUAUUAGGGAAGAACAAAUGUGUAAGUAACUAUGCACGUCUUGACGGUACUUAAUCAGAAAGCCACGGCUAACUACGUGCCAGCAGCCGCGGUAAUACGUAGGUGGCAAGCGUUAUCCGGAAUUAUUGGGCGUAAAGCGCGCGUAGGCGGUUUUUUAAGUCUGAUGUGAAAGCCCACGGCUCAACCGUGGAGGGUCAUUGGAAACUGGAAAACUUGAGUGCAGAAGAGGGAAGUGGAAUUCCAUGUGUAGCGGUGAAAUGCGCAGAGAUAUGGAGGAACACCAGUGGCGAAGGCGACUUUCUGGUCUGUAACUGACGCUGAUGUGCGAAAGCGUGGGGAUCAAACAGGAUUA